ACGAGUUGGGAUGGUAGCGAUAGUGUUGAUCGUACAAAUGGUAAUGAUAGUAAAGAUGAUGAUGAUGGCAGCGACAAUGAAUCCUGGUCGUCGUACGAUAAUUUACCUGAAGAGGAUUUUGAAAAGAAGGAGGAGGGUGCUUGUAGUGAAAACGAGGAUAUUGACGUUCAGAACGAGGAAAAUCAUGGUGUUGAAUCUUUCGGGGAUGACAUAAGCCAGGCUAACUUUGAUGAUUGGAGUGGUGAAGAUGGAUAUGAGCAUGAGGAUGGAGCUAAUAUGGACAUUGAGGACGCUGAAAUCCAGCAACGUGCGUUGGAGACACAGUUGAAGGUUAUGGGUAUGACAUUUGCAUCACAAUGGGAGGCUCACAUUUUCUAUAAUAACUACGCCAAAGACCGUGGAUUCAGUAUCAGAAAAGAUAAGGUGAAACGAGGAAAAGGACUUUCAACCACUGUUCGGUAUAGGAGAUACGUUUGCUCGAGGGCAGAAAAACGUCUCAAUAAAUUUUUAAACCCGGAGGGCCGUACACGCAGGCUAAGACCAGAGACUCGUUGCGAGUGUGGCGCACAUUUAGUCGUGAAGUUGGACAAAGGACGUGGAGUUUGGUUCAUGGCAGCUUUUAUGGAUGAUCACAACCAUUUGUUGGCUAGACCAAAUGAGGUGGUAUUUCUGCGGUCACAUCGAGUGAUGGGAGAUCACCAAAUAGCUGAGAUCUUGGCGAUGGAAGGAGCUAGGAUCAGAAAGCAUAUCAUCGUUGACAACUUCAUUAGCAGGUAUGGCUCGUAUGAUAAGUGUGGGUUUCUGAGACGAGACGUGUACAAUCUAUGUUGCCGAGAAAAAAUGAAGUUGAUUGCGAAGGGUGAUGCUAACACGGCAAUCGGGAUUAUGAGGAGCAGAAAGGAGAAGGAUCCAGAGUUUUUCUUUGAGUACGUGCUCGAUAAGGAGGGCCGUUUGAAGAGCAUGUUCUGGUGCGAUGCACAGUCGCGGCGGGACUAUCAAUUGUAUGGAGAUGUGACGGUGUUCGACAGCACGUAUAAGAUGAACAGAUAUGGUAUGCCGUUCAUCCCCUUUGUUGGUGUAAACAAUCACCGUUGCACCACAGUUUUUGGUUGUGCCAUUGUGUCCGACGAGACCGAAGUGACGUACGUGUGGCUGCUUCAGACAUUCCUGAAGGCCAAUUGUCAGAAAAAGCCAAGGUCAAUCAUCACAGAUGGAGACGCUGCAAUGAUACGAGCUAUUCGGUUGGUUUUGGUUGAUGUGUUGCAUCGUCUCUGCUCAUGGCACGUGGAAAAAACAUGCAGAAGCACCUUAAUUACAAAUCGCUAA
RNAcentral lists this ribosomal RNA (1326 nucleotides) under Triticum aestivum (bread wheat). Its description in RNAcentral is "partial small subunit ribosomal RNA". The record is from RNAcentral. Lineage: Eukaryota; Viridiplantae; Streptophyta; Magnoliopsida; Poales; Poaceae.